This 387-nucleotide ribosomal RNA is filed under the name uncultured bacterium. Its description in RNAcentral is "bacterial SSU rRNA". It matches the Rfam family "Bacterial small subunit ribosomal RNA", at positions 28 to 417 of the family's 1533-position model. The record is from RNAcentral.
GACGAACGCUGGCGGCGUGCUUAACACAUGCAAGUCGAGCGGUAAGGCCCUUUCGGGGGUACACGAGCGGCGAACGGGUGAGUAACACGUGGGUGACCUGCCCUCAGCUCUGGGAUAAGCCUGGGAAACUGGGUCUAAUACUGGAUAUGACUCCACGGUGCAUGUCGUGGGGUGGAAAGCCUUGUGCGGCUGAGGAUGGGCCCGCGGCCUAUCAGCUUGUUGGUGGGGNGAUGGCCUACCAAGGCGACGACGGUAGCCGGCCUGAGAGGGCGACCGGCCACACUGGGACUGAGACACGGCCCAGACUCCUACGGGAGGCAGCAGUGGGGAAUCUUGCGCAAUGGGCGAAAGCCUGACGCAGCGACGCCGCGUGAGGGAUGACGGCCU